Molecule: ribosomal RNA, 495 nt
Filed under: uncultured bacterium
Lineage: Bacteria
Description: partial 16S ribosomal RNA
Rfam family: Bacterial small subunit ribosomal RNA
Source: RNAcentral
GACGAACGCUGGCGGCGUGCCUAAUACAUGCAAGUAGAACGCUGAAGGAGGAGCUUGCUCUUCUGGAUGAGUUGCGAACGGGUGAGUAACGCGUAGGUAACCUGCCUGGUAGCGGGGGAUAACUAUUGGAAACGAUAGCUAAUACCGCAUAAGAGUAGAUGUUGCAUGACAUUUACUUAAAAGGUGCAAUUGCAUAACUACCAGAUGGACCUGCGUUGUAUUAGCUAGUUGGUGGGGUAACGGCUUACCAAGGCGACGAUACAUAGCCGACCUGAGAGGGUGAUCGGCCACACUGGGACUGAGACACGGCCCAGACUCCUACGGGAGGCAGCAGUAGGGAAUCUUCGGCAAUGGACGGAAGUCUGACCGAGCAACGCCGCGUGAGUGAAGAAGGUUUUCGGAUCGUAAAGCUCUGUUGUAAGAGAAGAACGAGUGUGAGAGUGGAAAGUUCACACUGUGACGGUAUCUUACCAGAAAGGGACGGCUAACUACGUG